Molecule: long non-coding RNA, 4837 nt
Filed under: Triticum aestivum (bread wheat)
Lineage: Eukaryota; Viridiplantae; Streptophyta; Magnoliopsida; Poales; Poaceae
Description: long non-coding RNA (TAES_LNC016978)
Source: RNAcentral
UUUUCUUCUCUUGAAUUGUGCAGCAAAGGAAUCCGCGCCUCUGAUGGCUUCUCCGAGGAGUGGUACGGCGAACCAGGAGGGUGCCGAUCAAUCUGACGCAUCAAAAGUAAUAAAUCUCACUCAGUUCUUCAAGGUCAAAUUCUCUAAUUUCUUUGUUUUGAACCAUUGCAGGAACACAUCCCUCAAUGCAAACAAAUAUGAUUGUCAAACAGAUUGACUUACCAUGCAACCUUGUGGAACUUGUACAACAAACCGUGGCCAGAAUCUGCAGAUCCAAACAGCGACGAAAAAUUAGUUUAUUCUGCAUUUAGAAAAACAAAGCAGUACCAUGCACAGUACCCCUAAUUCACAUUUAAUUGAAUGUGCGGACAUUCUUGUAGCAUCUCUGAUUUCAGUUCCUGGAAAGCAUCCACUACAGUUUUUAUAUUCAGUGCAUAUACUUCCUGGGAAGUACUCUGGAAAUACUUGUCAUUGAAAUGGAUGUAUCUAGAUGUAUUCUAGUUCUAGAUACAUCCAUUUUGAUGACAAGUAAUUCCGAACGGAGGGAGUAUUAACUAAAUUGAAUCUUAAUUGAUAUAUGAUCUGCAGGAAACCACAGUAGAUCACACCGAUGAAAGGGUACCAAAGCUUGGCAUGCAAUUUUUAUCUGAAGAGGAAGCCUAUUUAUUUUAUAACAACUAUGCUAAAGCUAUCGGUUUUAGCAUCAGAAGAAGCAGUGGUCAUAAAGUACCAAACUCUUGUACACUGCAGCAAUGGACAUUUACAUGCUCUCGUCAAGGUAUGGGUUACUUUUAAUUUGUUUUGAUUGUAAUCACUACUUUAUGCUCUAAGACAAUUAUACUACAACUUAUAGGCCAUCGCCGGGAAGAUAAAAGAGAGGAGACAUUCAGUUACAGUAGGCCUGAAACACGAUGUGGAUGUGAUGCCCAUAUGAAGAUUAGCCUUAGAAAUGGAGUUUAUUAUGUGUAUGAAUUCGAGGGGGCACAUAAUCACAAUCUUGCUCAUGGAAUCAUGGCCCAAUACCUGAGAUCCCAGAGAAAAGUGACAGAAGCACAAAUAGCAAAUGCAGAGAUCGCAAAGUCAGUAGGUAUUUCAAAUAAAGCAACAAUCGAUUUGAUGGCCAAAGAAGCAUGUGGAAGUGAAAACCUUGGCUUUAUACCUCAAGAUAUGAAAAACCGUUUGUACUCAAAGAGAAUAAUAAAAGCGAAGGUAGGUGACACCGGGGGAGUAUUAGAAUACAUGGAGAAAAAUGUCUCGGAAGAUGUCAACUUUUUCUAUUCAAUUCAAGUGGAUGAGGAUGAAUUGAUAACUAAUAUUAUUUGGGCUGACUCCAAAAUGGUUUCAGACUAUGCGCUAUUCGGCGAUGUUAUAUGCUUUGACACCACAUACAGGAAACUAGAUGAUGGAUGUCCAUUUGGUUUCAUUGUUGAGGUGAAUAAUCAUCAGAAAAUUGUUUUCUUUGGUGCUGCACUUCUCUAUGAUGAAACCGCUGCAAGUUUUGCUUGGCUUUUCAGAACUUUCCUAAAAGUUAUGUCAGGAAAACAUCCACGUACAGUUCUCACCGAUGAAGAUGCGGCAAUGGCAAAGGCAAUUCGUGAAGUCUUCCCUCACUCUCACCAUAAACUUUGCGUGUGGCAUAUGAAUCAAAAUGCUUGCAAGACCUCGCCGGAGUUGUUGACGAAUAUAAGAAGUUCAAUGCUGAUUUUCAGCACUGUAUAUAUGAUAUAGAAGAGGAGGAUGAAUUUGUAGGUGCAUGGGAUAAAAUGAUUGACAAGUAUGGACUACGUGACAAUCAAUGGCUGCAAAGGCUAUUUGAGAAAAAGGAACAGUGGGCACUAGUGUAUGGUAAAAAUACAUUCGCUGCCCACAUGAGCACUACCCAAAGAAGUGAAAGCAUGAACAAUGAACUAAAGAGAUACAUUAGUAUUAAAUAUGACAUGCUUACUUUCUUUGAGCAUUUUGAACAGCUAGUUUUGGAUAAAAGAUGUGAAGAGGUGAAGUAUGACUUUAAAGCAACACAGACUACUCCCAAGUUGAAGGCCGAAUCUAGCUAUAUGUUAACACAAGCUGCAGCUACAUAUACUCCAGCAAUAUUCAAGAUGGUUCAAGAUCAAGUGCUUCGGAGUCUGAACUAUGACACAUUGCUUUGUGAUGAAAGUGACACCGAGAUGAAGAUUUUUGUAGUAAAAUUUCAUGGCACACAAUGUGAACAUGUUGUUAGAUUCACACCCAAAGAAGAAAAGGUUAACUGCAGCUGCAAAAAGUUUGAGUUUGCUGGAAUCCUUUGCUCUCAUUGCCUAAAGGUACUUGAUAUCAAUAAUAUCAAGCAUAUUCCAGGAGAAUAUAUCUUAAAACGGUGGACAAUUGAUGCCAAAGUUCUAGAUAUAACAAGCAAAUACAACCCGCAUGAGAACCUAACAGCAAGAAUGUCUAAUCGCUAUAAGGAACUGUGUAGAAUGUUUGUGAAAAUAGCUGCUCGUGCAGCUGAGUCAGAAGAAUCAUACAAUAAGGAUGUUAAGUGUGCAGAGCAAUUAGCACAAGAUGUGAAAAAAUGGUUGAUGAUUAGAGUUGAUCCAGAUUUGGUUAGCGUUGAUCCAGAUUUAGAUAACUCAUGUACUAAAGAAGGUACAAACUAUACUAACAAUAAUUGCCUAGACUAUUGUAAAACAAAGUCUGAUAUUUAUCAUUAUAGUGGCAGGUGUGAAUAUCCCAUCUAGUAGGAUUUCAAAACAUGGUGAGGGGCUUGCAAAACCAAAAGGUAGGAAGGUCAAGGAGAAGACUGUCAAAGGAUCAAAAAGACCCGUUGGCGGAUUUGAGAAAGCAACUUCAAAAAAGAAAAAGAACACAGAUGAUAGUGUACAACAAAAGACUCAUGGCCCGUCAAUGGUAUCAUACUUCAUCUCAUUGUGGCUUAUAAAACAUUCAAUUGUACUGACAUUUCUCUAUCAAAUUUUACAGGGCCCUUUGGAGAAAUAGACUUCGAAAAAGAAAAAGAACAAAAAUGAUAUUGUACAACUACAGCCUCAUGGCCCCUCAACGGUAUAACAUUAUCACUUGUUUCUUUUAAAAUCUUCAACUGUAAUGACCUUUCUCUAUCAAUUUCAACAGGGUCCUUUAGAAUUUUUCGGGAACCAAAUGGGUGCAUAUCAAUUACCCUACAACACUAUCGUAACUGCUUCAAUGCAACCAUCAGUUGGUAACAUCCCGAUGCCACCACAGAGCCAACAACUGUUGACGGGAUUCCAACCAUACAACACAACAGUGGUAGAAGCAAUCCACACUUUCAAAGUUACGUUUUUUUUCCAAACUUCGUUGAAACUGAACUUUGCUACUUUGUGCAUAGUGUCAUCCCACAAACCACAUGUACGCCUAUUUACAGCAGCAGAACUCUACUCUGAAUCCCUCCCUGCACAAGACCAUUCGGGAAAAUCAAAGCUUCUUUCUUCAACCAAAGUCAACAUCUAUCCUAAAUGGUACAAUGCAGCCAUCAAUUGGUAAAACCAUGUCAAUGCCACCACAAAGACAAGAACAACAAAAUACUCUACUGGUAUAACAUUCCACCCUUUCUACUUUUCCAAUUUUGUAAACUUCAUUGAAACUGAACUUUGCUACUUUGUGCACAGGAUUAUCGGACAAACCACACGUACACCUAUCUACAACAGCAAAACUUGGCUCCGAAUCCCUCUUUGACAGAGAAUAUUGAAGCCUCUAACUAUAGUUCGAUGACAGGACAAAAUCAAGGCUUACUUCUUGAACCGAAGGCUACAUCUAUUAUAAAUGCUACAACACAACCAUCAGUUGGUCACACCACCCUGAUGCCACAGACCCAAGACCCACACAAUACUCAAGUGGUAUAACAUUCCAUACUUUCAAGUUUUCCAAUUUCUGAACUUCAAUGAAACUGAAAUUGCUAAUUUUCUGCCCAGGGUCAUGAGAUAAAUCACAUGUAUUUACAGCAGCAACACUUGGCGCAGGAUCCCUCAGUGCAAAGGAUCAUUGGAACCUCUACCUCUAGUAUGAUGACAGGACAAAAUCAAGCUUCCCUCAAUCAACCAAAGCCAGCAUGAUCUAUUUUGUUGUCGCGUGUUUUAUCUCAUGUGUCUUUUGACCUCCAAGUUGCAAAUAAUUUUUAUUAGAACUUAUACGUACCAUCAACUCAAUGCUACUACAUCUUCCCAAUCAAAUAUACUAGUUCACAGAUAUAUUUUUAAUGCAAUGGUACUAAUUCAUAGAAUUAGCUAUGAAGAAUUUUCCACAAGCAUCGUGCUCAUAUGAGCCUCUAAGCUAUCCUUCUCUCAGUUUAAGUUACGAUGACAGGGAUCCCAAUGAUCCAUUUUAAUUCUGCGAAAUAUAUGUACACAGAACCAUCUAUCUGAAUGUCAUGCUAAGAGGCAUAGAGCGAACAGAGAACAGAUUGACAAUCGGUCUGAAUUUAGCAUGCAAAGAAUCUUAAUUUAACUGAAUGAAAGCAGAGUAAUGGAAUUGCUAUUAGCUUUCCUUCUCUGAAUUUAACACGCAUCAGAUGGGAAUGCCACAAGAAGAAGUGGAAAUUACCUAUGUUCAGCGGAGGUAAUGUUGUAUGUAUGAGCUGCAAUCCCUUUCUUCUUCCUCUCUGAGUACCAAAUAGAUGGCGCUCAUGCUGCUGUCCUCGACUUCCUUCUUCUCGCCUCUUGACCCCUACUCCACAAGCCCGAGGACCAGCCUGCCAAGGACACGCCGCCCUCUUGCGUGGCCGUCCCACAUGCUACCGCUAGGAUCCGCGACUCAUAUUAGCGAGGACGGCGCCGUGGAGGAUCCCAUUCCGACCGAGCUGCUGCACGACCAGUCCCAGCAGGCG